Molecule: ribosomal RNA, 33 nt
Filed under: Philodendron stenophyllum
Lineage: Eukaryota; Viridiplantae; Streptophyta; Magnoliopsida; Alismatales; Araceae
Description: partial 26S ribosomal RNA
Source: RNAcentral
CCGCUGAGUUAAGCAUAUCAUAAGCGGAGGAAU